RNAcentral lists this ribosomal RNA (667 nucleotides) under Porcellanaster nudus. RNAcentral describes it as "partial 16S ribosomal RNA". It matches the Rfam family "Bacterial large subunit ribosomal RNA", at positions 1793 to 2646 of the family's 2925-position model. The record is from RNAcentral. RNAcentral also lists the same sequence under 1 other name. Lineage: Eukaryota; Metazoa; Echinodermata; Asteroidea; Paxillosida; Porcellanasteridae.
GUUUCGCCCUGUUUACCAAAAACAUCGCUCCUUGGAAAGGUUUCUAAUAUAUAAGGAGUUCUGCCUGCCCAGUGACAAAGUUAAACGGCCGCGGUAUUUUGACCGUGCAAAGGUAGCAUAAUCAUUUGCCUUUUAAAUGGAGGCUGGUAUGAAUGGCAAGACGGAGAUUUAGCUGUCUCUCUCUUAGAAUUUUGAAGUUAAUUUUUUUGUGAAGAAGCAAAAAUUUAAUCGUAGGACGAGAAGACCCUAUCGAGCUUAAAUAAAAAAGUAUAUGUUUGUAAUAUGUUUUUUGUGUUAAUUUCCCUUUAAAAAGGGUAUAGUUUUAUUUAAAAGGCAUAAGAUUAUUAUAUUUUUUAUUUAGAUUGGGGCAAUCGCGGAAGAAAUAAAGCUUUCGUUGUGAGUAAGUUAAAAAGUGACAUCUUUAAAGAAUAGUAGAUUGUAAAGUUAAAAUGACCCACUUUUUGAAGUGAGUAAAGGAAUAAGUUACCGUAGGGAUAACAGCGUAAUUUUUUUGGAGAGUUCAUAUUGAUAAAAGAGUUUGCGACCUCGAUGUUGGAUCGGGACUUCCGGGGGAUGCAGCAGUUCCCAAAGGUUGGUCUGUUCGACCAUUAAAGUCCUACGUGAUCUGAGUUCAGACCGGUGAAAGCCAGGUCAGUUUCUAUCUACG